CAAAAUCGAAGGAUGAAGUAAGUGAAGGAGGACUGCACUAAGAAUUCAAAGGCAAUCAUCAGAACAGUGACUUCAGAAACAAAGGAUCAGUGUUGUUAGAUUUCAUAAUGGAACUAGAUAACCUGCAGCAGCUUCAGGCACUAUCUAAGCUGUUGAGGAUCUACAAACUGCAGUAUAUGGCGCAAGACUACAGGAUGUUUGCAUACUGUCAAGACUAAGGAAUUGGACACAAUGGUGCCGAGAUCACAUUAAAGCGGUAGUAAACCACCAUAUAUUUUUCUGAAACCUGCAAAGCAAAGUUAUGAUGUGCUAGUAUGCAUCACAUACUAGCACAUUAUGUGAAAUAUACCUUAAAAUGAAGCCCUCCAGCGUCACACAGGGCUUCCAUCCUGUGAGAUAAAUUAUCCGUUCUUCCUUCCAGGUUGGCGGGUUCCGAUCCUUUGACUGGAAGAGUCAGGCCUCGUACACACGACCGAGGAACUUGAAACAUCGUUUUC
Molecule: long non-coding RNA, 497 nt
Organism: Rana temporaria (common frog)
Lineage: Eukaryota; Metazoa; Chordata; Amphibia; Anura; Ranidae
Exons: 3
Source: RefSeq, a predicted model, not a curated record